RNAcentral lists this ribosomal RNA (992 nucleotides) under Trichoderma asperellum. Its description in RNAcentral is "eukaryotic LSU rRNA". The stretch from base 183 to 336 matches the Rfam family "5.8S ribosomal RNA". Lineage: Eukaryota; Fungi; Ascomycota; Sordariomycetes; Hypocreales; Hypocreaceae. The record is from RNAcentral.
GUGGCUCGACUCACUCCAACCCAAUGUGAACGUUACCAAACUGUUGCCUCGGCGGGGUCACGCCCCGGGUGCGUCGCAGCCCCGGAACCAGGCGCCCGCCGGAGGAACCAACCAAACUCUUUCUGUAGUCCCCUCGCGGACGUAUUUCUUACAGCUCUGAGCAAAAAUUCAAAAUGAAUCAAAACUUUCAACAACGGAUCUCUUGGUUCUGGCAUCGAUGAAGAACGCAGCGAAAUGCGAUAAGUAAUGUGAAUUGCAGAAUUCAGUGAAUCAUCGAAUCUUUGAACGCACAUUGCGCCCGCCAGUAUUCUGGCGGGCAUGCCUGUCCGAGCGUCAUUUCAACCCUCGAACCCCUCCGGGGGAUCGGCGUUGGGGAUCGGGACCCCUCACACGGGUGCCGGCCCCGAAAUACAGUGGCGGUCUCGCCGCAGCCUCUCCUGCGCAGUAGUUUGCACAACUCGCACCGGGAGCGCGGCGCGUCCACGUCCGUAAAACACCCAACUUUCUGAAAUGUUGACCUCGGAUCAGGUAGGAAUACCCGCUGAACUUAAGCAUAUCAUAGGCCCGAAGAAAAACUUAGCGAGGGUUACGAGUCCGAGCGCGAGGGGGAGGUUGGGGGACUGUUGCGGGAGGGGGGUCAGGCGCGGGGUGGGUUCUGCGCGACGGGUGCGCCCGAGGAACCACGAAGGGUUCUUAGUCCUGGGAAGUAGUGGUUGGCGCUUGAGGAGGAAGCAGAAGUGAAAGCAGAACGUUCGCAAGGGAGGUGUGGGGUCUGGCGUCGGAUGGAGGAACGCGCGGAGUGCGAGAGGGUGGGAAUUGCGGAGAUUGGUGAAAUCGUGUGAACUUUGAAGCAGUGUGGCGGCCGUUAUUGUGGGAGUGAGGGCGAUCCAGGGUCAUAUCGCCCUGGAACCCCGCGGGAGAGAUGCGUUUGGGAUGUGGGGCACCCCCAGCAUGGUGCGCGCGCCCAGGAAGAUUACAGAGGCCGAAGUGUA